Helianthus annuus (common sunflower) is the source of this 153-nucleotide non-coding RNA. The record is from Rfam. NCBI's taxonomy places the organism in Eukaryota, Viridiplantae, Streptophyta, Magnoliopsida, Asterales, Asteraceae.
AGAGAGAAAGAUGGUCAGGUUAGCCAAGAAGACUGCCUGAUAACCGACCAAACAAAGAGUCUUAGAACAUCAUCGGUCUAGAAAAGACCAGAACCACCCUUUGAAUGGAAGAAACAGGCAAGUCAUUCUUGGCUACCAAACAAACUGUCUCUU